Molecule: ribosomal RNA, 363 nt
Filed under: uncultured bacterium
Lineage: Bacteria
Description: bacterial SSU rRNA
Rfam family: Bacterial small subunit ribosomal RNA
Source: RNAcentral
AGCGAACGCUGGCGGCAGGCCUAACACAUGCAAGUCGAGCGGCCGUAGCAAUACGGCAGCGGCAGACGGGAGAGUAACACGUGGGAACGUGCCCUUUGGUUCGGAAUAACGCAGGGAAACUUGCGCUAAUACCGAAUAAGCCCUUACGGGGAAAGAUUUAUCGCCAUUGGAGCGGCCCGCGUCUGAUUGGCUAGUUGGUGGGGUAACGGCUCACCAAGGCGACGAUCAGUAGCNGGUCUGAGAGGAUGAUCAGCCUCACUGGGACUGAGACACGGCCCAGACUCCUACGGGAGGCAGCAGUAGGGAAUUUUCCACAAUGGACGAAAGUCUGAUGGAGCAACGCCGCGUGCAGGAGGAAGGCCU